UACGGAGGGUGCAAGCGUUAUCCGGAUUCACUGGGUUUAAAGGGUGCGUAGGUGGGUUGGUAAGUCAGUGGUGAAAUCUCCGAGCUUAACUGGAGAGGUGCCAUUGAUACUGGGAUGCUUGAGUACUGAUGAGGUAGGCGGAAUGGACGGUGUAGCGGUGAAAUGCUUAGAUAUCGUCCAGAACACUGAUAGCGAAGGCAGCUUACUAAGGAGUAACUGACGCUGAGGCACGAAAGUGUGGGGAGCAAACAGG
This 253-nucleotide ribosomal RNA is filed under the name uncultured bacterium. RNAcentral describes it as "partial 16S ribosomal RNA". It matches the Rfam family "Bacterial small subunit ribosomal RNA", at positions 524 to 776 of the family's 1533-position model. The record is from RNAcentral.